This is a long non-coding RNA of Musa acuminata AAA Group (dessert banana), 2336 nucleotides long. RefSeq lists it as uncharacterized. The transcript is spliced from 2 exons. NCBI's taxonomy places the organism in Eukaryota, Viridiplantae, Streptophyta, Magnoliopsida, Zingiberales, Musaceae. The record is from RefSeq and is a predicted model, not a curated record.
GGGCGUGGGGAGAAGAAGAAGAGAAGUAGAGGGAGAAGAGAAGAAGAGGGAAAAGAAGAGAGGAAGAAGAGGAAGAAGAGGGAGAAGAGAAGAAAAGAAGAAGUAGAAGAGAGGGAAGAUGGAGAGGAGAAAGAGAGGCAGCUGCAGCAGCUAGGGCUGCAGCACCUCUGUUUCCCGCAGAUGGAAACAGAGGAGAGGAUGUGUGGGGCGUUGAGGAUGAAAAGGGAAGAAGAAGAAGAAGAAGAAGAAGAAGAAGAAGAGAGGACGAUAGCUGCGGCAAGGCUGCAGCGAGGAGAUGUGUGGCCUUGGGGGAGGAAAAGGGAAGAGGAGAAGAAGAGAAGGAGAAGAAGAGGGAAAAGAGAGGGAAGACGGAGAGGAGCGAGAGGUGGCUGCAGCUAGGGCUGCAGCACCUCUGUUUCCUGCAGGUGGAAACAGAGGAGACGUGUGGGGUGUCGGGUAGGAGAAGAGCAGAAGAAGAAGAAGAGGAAGAGAAGAAGAAGAGGAAGCAGGAGAAGAGGUUGUGAUACCUCUGUUCCCUGCAGAGGAAACAGAGGAGAGGGUGUGUGUGACGCCGGGAAGAAGAAGGGGAGGAAGGAGAAGAAGAGAAGAAGAAGAAAGGAAGGAGAAGGAAGAGGAUAAGGGAAAGAAGUAGCUGCGGCUGCGGCUGUGGCAGCUGCAGCUAUGGCAGGGAAAGAGGAAGAGAAAGGAAGAAGGGAAGGAGAGGAAGAAGAGGGAAAAGAGAGGGAAGACGGAGAGGAGCGAGAGGUGGCAGCAGCUAGGGCUGCAGCACCUCUGUUUCCUGCAGGUGGCAACAGAGGAGACGUGUGGGGUGUCGGGUAGGAGAAGAGCAGAAGAAGAAGAAGAGGAAGAGAAGAAGAAGAGGAAGCAGGAGAAGAGGUUGUGAUACCUCUGUUCCCUGCAGAGGAAACAGAGGAGAGGGUGUGUGUGACGCCGGGAAGAAGAAGGGGAGGAAGGAGAAGAAGAGAAGAAGAAGAAAGGAAGGAGAAGGAAGAGGAGAAGGGAAAGAAGUAGCUGCGGCUGCGGCUGUGGCAGCUGCAGCUAUGGCAGGGAAAGAGGAAGAGAAAGGAAGAAGGGAAGGAGAGGAAGAAGAGGGAAAAGAGAGGGAAGACGGAGAGGAGCGAGAGGUGGCAGCAGCUAGGGCUGCAGCACCUCUGUUUCCUGCAGGUGGAAACAGAGGAGACGUGUGGGGUGUCGGGUAGGAGAAGAGCAGAAGAAGAAGAAGAGGAAGAGAAGAAGAAGAGGAAGCAGGAGAAGAGGUUGUGAUACCUCUGUUCCUUGCAGAGGAAACAGAGGAGAGGGUGUGUGUGACGCCGGGAAGAAGAAGGGGAGGAAGGAGAAGAAGAGAAGAAGAAGAAAGGAAGGAGAAGGAAGAGGAGAAGGGAAAGAAGUAGCUGCGGCUGCGGCUGUGGCAGCUGCAGCUAUGGCAGGGAAAGAGGAAGAGAAAGGAAGAAGGGAAGGAGAGGAAGAAGAGAAGGGAAAGAAGGGGCUGCGGCUGCAGCGAUGGCAGCUGCAGUUGGAAGAGAAGAAGGAGAGGAAGAUGAGCAGGGGAGGAAGAAGAGGCUGUGGCCGCGGCUGAGGCUGCGACUGCAGCAGUGCAGCUGGGAAAGAAAGAAGGAAAGGAAGAAGAAGAGAAAGGAAAAGGGAAGAAGAGAGGAAGAGGAGAGGCAGCUGUGGCAGUGGCAGCUGCAGCUGGAAGAGAAGGAGAGGAAAUAGAGCAGGGGAGAAAGAAGAGGCGGCUGUGGUGGCUGCGGCCAUGGUUGCGACUGCGGCAGUUGCAGCUGGGAAAGAAAAGAAAGGAAAGGGAGAAAAAGGGGCUGCGGACGGGAUUGCGGCCGCAGCGGCAGCGACUGCGUAUGCAGCAGUUAUGUCUGCGAGAGAAGGGAGGAAAGAAGGUAGUGCGGUGGAAGGGGCUGCGAUUGUGGCAGCGGCAGCGGCGGCGGCUGUGGCAACUGCGUUUGGGAAAGAAAAAGAAGAAAUGAGAGUAAGAGAGAGCAGGUGACUGUGCCUCGAUGUUCGACACGUGGUGUAGUUGCGAAGAAAGGAAGAAAACGGGAGCACAAAACGAAACAGAGAGAGGACACGGAGGAAAAGUAGAAGGAUUUGGGCUGGCACCUUCUUUGGAUCUUCGGAUCGAAAUCCUUGAAAGGUCAGCUUGUCACUCUUCGAGAUGUUUGAUUUGGGCUGAGGCAGUGGAUAGCUAUUUAGAAUUAUGGGCAAGUCUUGUUGGUUGUUAUGCUAUUGUUGUAUAAGCAUAUUUUGUAUGUAAUGAAUUGUUCUGAUGAUCAAAAUGGAUAUACUGUGUAAAAGUGUUAGAA